RNAcentral lists this ribosomal RNA (343 nucleotides) under uncultured fungus. Its description in RNAcentral is "SSU rRNA". It matches the Rfam family "Eukaryotic small subunit ribosomal RNA", at positions 292 to 636 of the family's 1831-position model. The record is from RNAcentral. Lineage: Eukaryota; Fungi.
GGUUCAUUCAAAUUUCUGCCCUAUCAACUUUCGAUGGUAAGGUAUUGGCUUACCAUGGUUUCAACGGGUAACGGGAAUUAGGGUUCGAUUCCGGAGAGGGAGCCUGAGAAACGGCUACCACAUCCAAGGAAGGCAGCAGGCGCGCAAAUUACCCAAUCCCGACCGGGGAGGUAGUGACAAUAAAUACUAAUACAGGGCUCUUUUGGGUCUUGUAAUUGGAAUGAGUACAAUUUAAACCCCUUAACGAGGAACAAUUGGAGGGCAAGUCUGGUGCCAGCAGCCGCGGUAAUUCCAGCUCCAAUAGCGUAUAUUAAAGUUGUUGCAGUUAAAAAGCUCGUAGUUG